This 73-nucleotide transfer RNA is filed under the name Deltaproteobacteria bacterium. Its description in RNAcentral is "tRNA-His". It matches the Rfam family "tRNA". From Rfam's summary of the family: Transfer RNA (tRNA) molecules are approximately 80 nucleotides in length. RNAcentral also lists the same sequence under 1 other name. The record is from RNAcentral. Lineage: Bacteria; Pseudomonadati; Myxococcota; Myxococcia.
GUGAGUGUAGCUCAAUUGGUAGAGCGCCAGACUGUGGAUCUGGAUGUCGAGGGUUCGAGCCCCUUCACUCACC